CUUAGAGUUUCAGGGUGACAUGAAGAGUGUGAAGUGAACCACCUAUCACCAUGCUACUGCAAUACUUCAUGACACUUUCUUGAGCAUCAGGAAAUCUCAACAUGUGGAGUUAUGCUGUUGGUUGCAGUGAAUUCCAUUAUUUUUACGGUUUUUUCAUCAUGAACAUUGCAGUGUGCUUCUUAGAAAAGAGCACGCAGUUUCUUGUGGUCCUGGCACGGAGAUUCUUGUGCCAAAUUGACAUUUGUCCAUGACGGAAGAGGGACUUCCAUCAAUGUUCUUCUCCGUCCUUUUCUUCGCGACGCACGCUCAUCUAGUUUCACUGCUUCUAAACACAAUUGGGUUUUACUUCACUGGCGACUUGGCGAGUAUUCUGGAUAACUUCAGUGAUCGCUUCCGUCCGCUGUUAUACACCUGCAGUCACUCACCACGGGAUUAUGCCCAGCUCCUUUGCACGGGCCGCGCUGUUCGGUUUCGUGGUU
Molecule: long non-coding RNA, 479 nt
Organism: Daphnia pulicaria
Lineage: Eukaryota; Metazoa; Arthropoda; Branchiopoda; Diplostraca; Daphniidae
Exons: 3
Source: RefSeq, a predicted model, not a curated record